UUCAAAUGGGUGUGGAGGGCAGAGAGGAAUGAAGAGAGAGAGCAGAGGAGGGCAGCAGAGAGAGGCAGAGGGAGGCAGAUACCGACACCUAGGCAGUAACACUUAGUGCGAGGGGGGGACGACACACCGGCUCUCAAUGGGCAGGUCUCUGUGAAGCGCAGCCUACCUGUUGGAGCUCAUUGCGGGAGACUGCCGUGCUGGACCCACGCUGAUCGUGGAUCUGCUGUUAAACCCACUGCACUUGCGAGGCGUGAACAGCCCAAACAUGUCUCCAAGACUAUUGCUCUGCGCUGUUUUGGCUGCGUACCACGGGACGCAAAUCGGCAGUGGAUUUAACAUAGAUGAACGGUUUCCUGUGAUCAAAGAGGGAAAAACCAAAGGGAGCUUCUUUGGAUUCUCAGUAGCUGUGCAUCAACAGACGGAGGGCGCCAGAAAGUACCUGCUUCUUGCAGGAGCACCAAAAGAGAAAGCCGAAUCUCUACGAAAUGUCAAUGAAACAGGCGCCAUCUACUCCUGUCCCAUUACAACAGAUCCGGCCGACUGCUCCAGAAUGGACCUGGUCAGCACAACAAAUCCAUCUGAGAUGGUGGAGGGCAUGUGGCUGGGUGUGACAGUGGCCAGUCAGAGAGACCAGCCGGCAGGACGCGUGCUGGCAUGCGGGCAUCGCUAUGUGAAGAUCAUCCAAAGCGGCAUAGAGGAGCAGCGGCGAAUGAUAGGAAAGUGCUAUGUCAGAAGCAACGACCUGACCUUUGACCCAAAUGACGAAUGGCAGACUUACAGUUAUGAGGUCUGCAACCCCAACUUCGACAUGGAUUUUGAGGGCCUGUGCAACAUGGGCAUGUCAGGCGGCAUGACAGACACUGAUGUCUACAUCGGCGCUCCAGGCAGCUAUCUGUGGCAAGGAAAUGUUCAUGUAACAUGGAGAGAUCCAGAUCCAGCGAAUGCCUGGGACUCUAUAGGCAAAGACUUUGGACAGCAGAAUAGACGAUACAGUUAUAUGGGUUACUCAGUUAUUGAGGAGAGGAAGCUGCUGAGCCAUAAUGACUACACAGUGGUGACAGGGUCUCCCAGGGACGAGUCCAAGGGCUCAGUGAUAUUCGGGAGUAAGACUGACAAAAACAUCGAAUUGGUGCUCACUCUCCCCGGGGAACAAGUGGGCUCGUACUUUGGGAACAGCCUGGCUGUCACUGACCUCAACAAUGACGACUGGAACGACCUGAUCGUUGGCGCCCCAUUUUACUUUGACCGUAUGAAGGAUGAGGGAGGAGCAGUGUAUAUCUUCAUGAAUGAAAAUGGAUCGUUCCAAAAGACCGCCAGCGUGGUGCUGAAGGGUCCAUCGGCCUCUGGAUUUGGCUUUGCAGUGGCUGCCAUCGGUGAUGUUAACCAAGACGGAUUCCAAGACUUUGCAGUGGGAGCUCCAUUCCAUGACACAGGAAAGGUCUACAUUUGGAUGGGAAGUAAAAAGGGAAUCUCAAAGGAGCCCAGUCAGGUGAUUGAGGGUAAGUCAGUGGGAAAUGGAGGAUUCAACACGUUUGGCUACUCCAUCAAUGGAGGGAUGGACAUGGAUGGCAACAGUUACCCUGACAUCCUAGUUGGCUCUCUGGACGACCGCAUGGCCCUGCUCAGGGCUCGACCAGUCAUCCACUUAACUAAGGACUUCACUGUCGAGCCAAAGAUUGUGGACCCCAGUCAGUGUCUUGGAAGUACACCAUGCAUCACAGCAACACUGUGUAUGUCUUUCACUCUAAGCAAUGGAAACAAAGACUUCAAGAAAAAUACCACGGUGAAGUACACGGUGAAGGCCGAUAUGGACAGGAGAAGCCCUCGUGUUCGUUUUGAGGACAAUGAUGACACAUAUAUCGGCUUCUUGAGCCUGCCAUCUUCCAAAUCCAUUUGUCAUACUAUGAAACUGAUUGUAACGGUGCCUGUGAGAGACAAACUGGAGCCGGUGGUCUUUUCCCUCAGCAUGUCCUUAGAUGAACAAAAACCUAAUUCAAGACGUUCCCUGCAGAACCUAGACUCUUUUCCAAUUAUCAGCCAGGAGCAGAAACUCACUCAAAGAGCUGAGAUUAACUUUCAGAGGGAGUGUGGCUUGGACAACAAAUGUAGCAGUAACCUGCAGCUGACAGCCGAGUUUGUUGACAACGAGGGAAAGCCUUACCUAAGGCAUGGCGAAUCGCAGAUACUCCCGUUCAACAGCAAUGUAAAGAAAAUAGGGCUGAUGGUGAAUGUGACCAACUCUCCUGAUAAGGGAAAGCUAGGUGAAGACGCCCACCAGGCCAUGCUCAACGUCACCAUCCCUGACACACUGAGUUACUCUGCAGUCUUGUCUGAGGAUCAUAAUGUACAAUGCCGUCUGACCGACACAGUGAUUUGUGACCUGGGGAAUCCACUUAAAGGCAAUGAAAAGGUAAUACUUUUGCUCAAGUUUGAGACCUCAGGGAUUAAUUUGUACACACAAGAGAUUGAGACCCAGCUGCUUCUGUCCACUCUUAGUGAGCAGAGUGACCUGAAGCCUGUGCCUCUGAGCCUUCUGAUUGAAAACACCAUCAGCCCCUCCUUCUUCAUAGCGAACCAGCCGGUGAAAACACAAUUCAGUGGGACGGUGAUGGGCAUGUCAGCCAUGGUCAACACCAGUGACGUGGGCAGCCUGGUCGAGUUCACCUUGGAUGUGAACAUGGGGGGACAGCCCCUGGGACACAUGGGGACCCUGGCUGUAGAGUUUGAGUGGCCCUUUGAGGUAGCCAAUGGCAAGUGGCUGCUGUACCUGACGAAGAUUGUUGUUAAAGGGGAAUCUGAGGUGGAAUGUAAACCUGCUGGAGAAGUUGUCAACACGCUUAACUUAACUUUGUCAGGGAGCGACCGAAAGCGUACUAAACGACAGAUCACAGUGGCUGAUGAUGAUGAUACGACAAAGCCACAUAUGGCAGCCAUCAAGCUGCUCACUCCUCGCAAAGAGACCUACCUGUUGGAUUGCUUCAAAGGGACAGCACGUUGUGUGACGUUUACCUGCCCGCUGGUCAACAUGACGAAUUCAGCCAAGAUUUAUGUCCGCUCCCGUUUGUGGAACAGUACAAUGCUAGAGGACUAUUCCAACGCUCUGACAAUUACGGUCAACGGUCAAGCCACACUGAAGCUCAUUCAAAAUAAACCAAACAUCAAGAUGGACAGUCAGGUCAACAAUGUGCGUGUUCACAGUAGAAAUAGAACCACUGGAGGGGGUGGAGGCACCCUAUGAGCUCCCGCUGUGGAUCAUCAUCUCUGCAGCUAUAGCGGGAAUUGUCCUACUGGGAAUAAUCAUUCUUAUAUUAUGGAAGUGUGGCUUCUUCCAGAGGGCCAGCAGGAGGGAAAUGUAUGAGGCCAAAGCCCAGAAGGCUGAGAUGAAGAUCCAGCCCUCUGAGACAGAGAGGCUGACUGAGGACUACUGAGGCCCCCAUGGGUCCCCCAACCGCACACACCAGUGGGGCUUUUGGCUUGGAUUCUUCAAGCGUGCCAUCUACUACCGGAUAAUGCCAAAGCACCAGGGGGUGAGAAUUCGCAAGGCUGAGCGGUAUCAGUUCAAUCUGGGAUUUCAGCCUGAGGAGCCACAGAAAAAGUAUUGGAUCACCAACUGGACAGAGAUGCAGCAUUACUACUACUGAGGCCUUUACUUUGGCCCUUGAACCACUCACUGUCACACUGGUUUGACACAGGCCAAACAAAGAACGUUGGGCUCGGUCGAGCCACGUGCAUGGACCAAUUGUGGAUAUUGCAUUCCAUUUCUUUUUUUUUUUUUUCUUUUUUUUUUUUUACUUUAUCUAGAUUUCAACUUUUUCAGUGCAAUAGACUGAACCAUUUGCUUCAGAGAUUGUAAUUUGUAAGUAUUUUUGAUGAAUGCAGUGUUGGAAUCUGGGUUGCAUUCAAGAGUAAAUUGUUUUGAUUACAACGUUUGCAUGCCUUUUCUUUGCAAAGUUGGCUGGUCAAUAAUCAUUAUUUCCACCAUGUCUGUGUUUUCCUCUCUAAUAAGAGAAGUGAGUCUAUUGAUCUUUUCCGUGAUUGUGUAUUUCCUGCUCUGUCCCCAGCCAUCACUUUGUGGUCAGCGUUUGUAGACUAUGUAAGGGUUUUAAACGUACAUCAGUUGUUUAGGAGAUUGUUUUCGAACUGCACUUAGAAUAUGUUGACCAGCAUCCACUCUGUUAUGAGAGACUUUAUGUGAAUGUCAAUGGUUUACGUAGAUUCGCAUCUCAAAUAGUUGUGGCACUGACCUC
Sander lucioperca (pikeperch) is the source of this 4247-nucleotide RNA transcript. It is a transcript of the gene named integrin, alpha 3b, with no coding region annotated. NCBI's taxonomy places the organism in Eukaryota, Metazoa, Chordata, Actinopteri, Perciformes, Percidae. The transcript is spliced from 26 exons. The record is from RefSeq and is a predicted model, not a curated record.